GGCGUGCCUAAUACAUGCAAGUAGAACGCACAGGAUGCACCGUAGUUUACUACACCGUAUUCUGUGAGUUGCGAACGGGUGAGUAACGCGUAGGUAACCUGCCUGGUAGCGGGGGAUAACUAUUGGAAACGAUAGCUAAUACCGCAUAAGAACAUUUACUGCAUGGUAGAUGUUUAAAAGGUGCAAGAGCAUCACUACCAGAUGGACCUGCGUUGUAUUAGCUAGUUGGUGAGGUAACGGCUCACCAAGGCAACGAUACAUAGCCGACCUGAGAGGGUGAUCGGCCACACUGGGACUGAGACACGGCCCAGACUCCUACGGGAGGCAGCAGUAGGGAAUCUUCGGCAAUGGGGGGAACCCUGACCGAGCAACGCCGCGUGAGUGAAGAAGGUUUUCGGAUCGUAAAGCUCUGUUGUUAAGGAAGAACGUGUGUGAGAGUGGAAAGUUCACACAGUGACG
Molecule: ribosomal RNA, 459 nt
Filed under: Streptococcus constellatus
Lineage: Bacteria; Bacillati; Bacillota; Bacilli; Lactobacillales; Streptococcaceae
Description: bacterial SSU rRNA
Rfam family: Bacterial small subunit ribosomal RNA
Source: RNAcentral